RNAcentral lists this ribosomal RNA (780 nucleotides) under uncultured bacterium. Its description in RNAcentral is "bacterial SSU rRNA". It matches the Rfam family "Bacterial small subunit ribosomal RNA", at positions 34 to 796 of the family's 1533-position model. The record is from RNAcentral.
CGCUGGCGGCGUGCCUAAUACAUGCAAGUCGAGCGAACGGACGAGAAGCUUGCUUCUCUGAUGUUAGCGGCGGACGGGUGAGUAACACGUGGAUAACCUACCUAUAAGACUGGGAUAACUUCGGGAAACCGGAGCUAAUACCAGAUAAUAUUUUGAACCGCACGGUUCAAAAGUGAAAGACGGUCUUGCUGUCACUUAUAGAUGGAUCCGCGCUGCAUUAGCUAGUUGGUAAGGUAACGGCUUACCAAGGCAACGAUGCAUAGCCGACCUGAGAGGGUGAUCGGCCACACUGGAACUGAGACACGGUCCAGACUCCUACGGGAGGCAGCAGUAGGGAAUCUUCCGCAAUGGGCGAAAGCCUGACGGAGCAACGCCGCGUGAGUGAUGAAAGUCUUCGGAUCGUAAAACUCUGUUAUUAGGGAAGAACAUAUGUGUAAGUAACUGUGCACAUCUUGACGGUACCUAAUCAGAAAGCCACGGCUAACUACGUGCCAGCAGCCGCGGUAAUACGUAGGUGGCAAGCGUUAUCCGGAAUUAUUGGGCGUAAAGCGCGCGUAGGCGGUUUUUUAAGUCUGAUGUGAAAGCCCACGGCCCAACCGUGGAGGGUCAUUGGAAACUGGAAAACUUGAGUGCAGAAGAGGAAAGUGGAAUUCCAUGUGUAGCGGUGAAAUGCGCAGAGAUAUGGAGGAACACCAGUGGCGAAGGCGACUUUCUGGUCUGUAACUGACGCUGAUGUGCGAAAGCGUGGGGAUCAAACAGGAUUAGAUACCCUGGUAGUCC